UCCAGGUGAAUAUAAGAGCCAGCCAGAUGAGAACCAACCAUCAUCUAGCCUCUCUGUGAUCAGCAUGUAGUCCCCAGACCAUCAACAGCAGCGUCACCUGGGAGCACAUUAGAUAUGCAAAGUCUCAGGUGACCUACUGCUUCCUGCAUUGGAGCCAGACCCCCAGGGUCCCACCGUCCCCUGUGAUUGGAUGGAGUGUCUCGCAUUUUACAUUGUCCCUGAGAGGAGAGGAGCCCUUUGGAAAAGUCUGAAAAGCUAACAUUGAACUGGGACAUAACAGCAGCCUUGGGACAUCAGAGCCUGCUUGUGCCUGCUCUGCACUAUUGGAUGUUUUUAUGUGUACUACAUUAAGAGCUUCCAUCUCUCUGGACAAAGGGGAGAAGCGCUUCCGUGGUGGGUGGCCCCAAUUAAACCCUGUGCCUAGUGAGUUUCCGCCCAGGCUGACUGGAAGUCAGCCAGGGCUGAUUAGAGAGCAGGUACCUCAAAUGGCCCAGCACGGCCAUAAUGAAAUAGUCCUGGAAAAUUGCUAAAUGACAUAGAGGAAAAUCAUUACAAUUGAAAUGCCUCCCUCCCCCUUACCCUCUAUAACAUAAAGAAACACUUCAGAAUUGCCUAAAUAUUGCUUUGCCCAGUGAGUUAACUGUAUAGUAAAUGAAAGAUCUCUCACAAACACACAGCUUUGAGCAUACUGCUUUAAUUAUGAAAUGUUUAUUUUGUUUAAAAGCACAUAAAGAAGACAAAAACAGAAUAAAGAGGAAACAAAAGCAACUUUCCCCUUCUCCACCCCUAAAAAACAAAUAAAUUGUCACAUACACUAUAGAAUCGACUAGUAGGCUUAAUAUGGAAGGAUUUUAGAUAUUUCUUCACUUAAAAUAGUAAUAAGUAUUUGCUUUUUAUGACAAAAUCAAUACAAGCUCUUCCUGAAAACAUUGAAAAACACAGAAAAGUAUAAUGAGAGACUAAGAAUGGCUCAGGUGCUGUGGCUCAUGCCUGUAAUCCUACCACUGUGGGAGGCCAAGGCAGGAGGAUCCCUUGAGCCCAGGAGUUUGAGACCAGCCUGGGCAGCAUAGUGAGACCCUGUCUCUUUUUUUAAAUUGAAAUGGAGUUUCACUCUUGUUGCCCAGGAUGGAGUGCAAUGGCGCAAUCUUGGCUCAGUGCAACCUCCAUCUCUCGGGUUCAAGCAAUUCUCCUGCCUCAGUCUCCCGAGUAGCUAGGAUUAGAGGCAUGCACCACCAUGCCCAGCUAAUUUUGUAUUUUUAGUAGAGACAGGAUUUCUCCAUGUUGGUCAGGCUGGUCUGGAACUCCCGACCUCAGGUGAUCUGCCCACCUCGGCCUCCUAAAGUGCUGGGAUUAUAGGAGUGAGCCACCGCACCCAGCCUCUGUCUCUUAAAAAAAAAAAAAAGUAACUCCGCAGCCAUUCAUCCACCCCUCAGAAAUAACCAGAGUGAACAUGAUGUGGUAUAUCUUCCUUCUGUAAACACUGUUUUACAUAGUUGAGAAUGCAUUGUGUAUACUUUUGUGUUCUACCUUGACUAGUACUAUAUAUGGAAUAUGUUGCAGAUGUUAAGAUUCCCUGAACAAUUAUCAUUAAUGGCUGGGACAUAAUCCAUUAAAGGAGUGUAACGUAAUGCACUUAGCAAAAAUUUGGAUGUCCCUUUGUCAUGGGGCUACUAAGCUAUGAUAAGCAGUAGCAACAUCUGCACCAUAUAAUGGGGAAAGGAAAUGGGGACUCAUGUUCCAUAGGGUCCCCAAUCCUUCAAUCCUCCACCAACACCGUAAGGGGGUUAUUACUCAUCCACUUUAAUAGAUAAGGAAACUGGGGCUCACUGAUAGGUGAGAUCACUGGCUGAGGUCACAGAGCAAGGAGGCAGAGCCAGGAUGAUGACCUAAGUCUGUCAGAUUCUUUUUUCAUCUGUAUUCCUCAUCCAUGUGUAGACACAGAACAGUGAAGUCAAAAGAGCAUGGUUUUGGAGUCCAGGUAUGAUUUGUCUUAUACCUUGCAAAUGUUAGGUGCCCGAUAAAUACCUGUU
Long non-coding RNA from Homo sapiens (human), 2030 nucleotides. The record is from Ensembl. Lineage: Eukaryota; Metazoa; Chordata; Mammalia; Primates; Hominidae.